GCAUAUCAAUAAGCGGAGGAAAAGAAACCAACAGGGAUUGCCCUAGUAACGGCGAGUGAAGCGGCAACAGCUCAAAUUUGAAAUCUGGCUCUCUUUGGGGGUCCGAGUUGUAAUUUGCAGAGGAUGCUUUGGCAUUGGCGGCGGUCUAAGUUCCUUGGAACAGGACAUCACAGAGGGUGAGAAUCCCGUACGUGGUCGCCUGCCUUUGCCGUGUAAAGCUCCUUCGACGAGUCGAGUUGUUUGGGAAUGCAGCUCUAAAUGGGAGGUAAAUUUCUUCUAAAGCUAAAUACUGGCCAGAGACCGAUAGCGCACAAGUAGAGUGAUCGAAAGAUGAAAAGUACUUUGGAAAGAGAGUCAAAAAGCACGUGAAAUUGUUGAAAGGGAAGCGCUUGCAGCCAGACUUGCCCGCAGUUGCUCACCUAGGCUUUGGCCUGGGGCACUCUUCUGCGGGCAGGCCAGCAUCAGUUUGGGCGGUUGGAUAAAGGCCUCUGUCACGUAUCUCCCUUCGGGGUGACCUUAUAGGGGAGGCGCAAUGCAACCAGCCCGGACUGAGGUCCGCGCAUCUGCUAGGAUGCUGGCGUAAUGGCUGUAAGCGGCCCGUCUUGAAACACGGACCAAGGAGUCUAACAUCUAUGCGAGUGUUUGGGUGUCAAGCCCGAGCGCGCAAUGAAAGUGAACGGAGGUGGGAACCCUUUGGGUGCACCAUCGACCGAUCCUGAUGUCUUCGGAUGGAUUUGAGUAAGAGCAUAGCUGUUGGGACCCGAAAGAUGGUGAACUAUGCUUGAAUAGGGUGAAGCCAGAGGAAACUCUGGUGGAGGCUCGCAGCGGUUCUGACGUGCAAAUCGAUCGUCAAAUUUGGGCAUAGGGGCGAAAGACUAAUCGAACCAUCUA
This 891-nucleotide ribosomal RNA is filed under the name Paraphaeosphaeria sporulosa. Its description in RNAcentral is "eukaryotic LSU rRNA". It matches the Rfam family "Eukaryotic large subunit ribosomal RNA", at positions 38 to 946 of the family's 3401-position model. Lineage: Eukaryota; Fungi; Ascomycota; Dothideomycetes; Pleosporales; Didymosphaeriaceae. The record is from RNAcentral.